GAAGGCUGAAAUUCGCCUUCAUGAAGCUGGAAUUGCUAGUAAUGGCAGGUCAGCAUACUGCCGUGAAUACGUUCCCGGGCCUUGUACACACCGCCCGUCACACCAUGAGAGUUGGGAAUACCCGAAGCCUGUGAGCUAACUUAUAGAGGCAGCAGUCGAAGGUAGAAUCAAUGAUUGGGGUGAAGUCGUAACAAGGUAGC
This 200-nucleotide ribosomal RNA is filed under the name uncultured bacterium. RNAcentral's name for it is "partial 16S ribosomal RNA". It matches the Rfam family "Bacterial small subunit ribosomal RNA", at positions 1300 to 1500 of the family's 1533-position model. The record is from RNAcentral.